AACAAGGCGUACCUGCGGACCUGCGGAGGGAUCAUUAACAAAUCUAUUUGAGUGCUGCAGUCCUAGUGGCUGCAUGCACACAUAAGCCCUAAAGCGUAGCACUUCGGUGUGACCGCUUUAGUGUGUGUGGAGGAUUCGGAUCUUUUCGAUUCCUUCAUAGGUCUUCCUUCUGGAUGACCACAUUGACGCUUGUUUGUUUGACAGAGUUAUUAUGACAACAAAAAUAGACAACUUUUAACA
This 240-nucleotide unclassified non-coding RNA is filed under the name soil metagenome. RNAcentral describes it as "partial contains 5.8S ribosomal RNA, internal transcribed spacer 2, and large subunit ribosomal RNA". The record is from RNAcentral.